GUCCACGCGGUAAACGAUGAAUACCAGGUGUUGGGGGACAAAGUCCUUCGGUGCCGCCGCAAAACGCAUUAAAGUAUUCCACCUGGGGGAGUACGUUCGCAAAGAAAUGAAAACUCAAAAGGAAAUUGACGGGGACCCGCACAAAGCGGUGGAGCAUGUGGUUUAAAUUCGAAAGCAAACGCGAAAGAAACCUUAACCAAGGUCUUGACAUCCCCGAAUGAACCGGCCCCGUAAACGGGGGCUUUCUCUUCGGAGCAAUUGGAGACAGGUGGUGCAUGGUUGUCGU
This 286-nucleotide ribosomal RNA is filed under the name uncultured bacterium. RNAcentral describes it as "partial 16S ribosomal RNA". It matches the Rfam family "Bacterial small subunit ribosomal RNA", at positions 793 to 1055 of the family's 1533-position model. The record is from RNAcentral.